RNAcentral lists this ribosomal RNA (497 nucleotides) under uncultured bacterium. Its description in RNAcentral is "partial 16S ribosomal RNA". It matches the Rfam family "Bacterial small subunit ribosomal RNA", at positions 28 to 507 of the family's 1533-position model. The record is from RNAcentral.
GAUGAACGCUGGCGGCGUGCCUAAUACAUGCAAGUCGAGCGAACAGACGAGGAGCUUGCUCCUCUGACGUUAGCGGCGGACGGGUGAGUAACACGUGGAUAACCUACCUAUAAGACUGGGAUAACUUCGGGAAACCGGAGCUAAUACCGGAUAAUAUAUUGAACCGCAUGGUUCAAUAGUGAAAGACGGUUUUGCUGUCACUUAUAGAUGGAUCCGCGCCGCAUUAGCUAGUUGGUAAGGUAACGGCUUACCAAGGCAACGAUGCGUAGCCGACCUGAGAGGGUGAUCGGCCACACUGGAACUGAGACACGGUCCAGACUCCUACGGGAGGCAGCAGUAGGGAAUCUUCCGCAAUGGGCGAAAGCCUGACGGAGCAACGCCGCGUGGGUGAUGAAGGUUUUCGGAUCGUAAAACUCUGUUAUUAGGGAAGAACAAAUGUGUAAGUAACUAUGCACGUCUUGACGGUACCUAAUCAGAAAGCCACGGCUAACUACGUG